UACGAAGGGGGCUAGCGUUGCUCGGAAUUACUGGGCGUAAAGCGCACGUAGGCGGUCUUUUAAGUCGGGGGUGAAAUCCUGGAGCUCAACUCCAGAACUGCCUUCGAUACUGGAAGACUUGAGUCCGGGAGAAGUGAGUGGAACUGCGAGUGUAGAGGUGAAAUUCGUAGAUAUUCGCAAGAACACCAAGUGGCGAAGGCGGACUCG
This 207-nucleotide ribosomal RNA is filed under the name uncultured bacterium. RNAcentral describes it as "partial 16S ribosomal RNA". It matches the Rfam family "Bacterial small subunit ribosomal RNA", at positions 524 to 728 of the family's 1533-position model. The record is from RNAcentral.